Molecule: ribosomal RNA, 468 nt
Filed under: uncultured bacterium
Lineage: Bacteria
Description: partial 16S ribosomal RNA
Rfam family: Bacterial small subunit ribosomal RNA
Source: RNAcentral
GACGAACGCUGGCGGCGUGCUUAACACAUGCAAGUCGAACGGAAAGGCCCUGCUUUUGUGGGGUGCUCGAGUGGCGAACGGGUGAGUAACACGUGAGUAACCUGCCCUUAACUUUGGGAUAACUUCAGGAAACUGGGGCUAAUACCGGAUAGGAGCUCCUGCUGCAUGGUGGGGGUUGGAAAGUUUCGGCGGUUGGGGAUGGACUCGCGGCUUAUCAGCUUGUUGGUGGGGUAGUGGCUUACCAAGGCUUUGACGGGUAGCCGGCCUGAGAGGGUGACCGGCCACAUUGGGACUGAGGUACGGCCCAGACUCCUACGGGAGGCAGCAGUGGGGAAUAUUGCACAAUGGGCGGAAGCCUGAUGCAGCAACGCCGCGUGCGGGAUGACGGCCUUCGGGUUGUAAACCGCUUUCGCCUGUGACGAAGCGUGAGUGACGGUAAUGGGUAAAGAAGCACCGGCUAACUACGUG